ACUAAAUGUAGUUGUCAUGGUUCCUUUCAGAUCCCUUGCGGUUCGGAAAGGCUAAGAGGGAAGCCGGUGCCCUUUCGGGGAAUUCCGGCGCUGCCCCCGCAACUGUAAACGGUGAGUUGCUGUCUCUUUCGUGUCACUGGUGCCAAAAGCACCGGGAAGGCCCGACAGCGACGACGAUCCGUGAGCCAGGAGACCUGCCGUGACGUUGCACGAAAC
Molecule: non-coding RNA, 216 nt
Filed under: Aquamicrobium defluvii
Lineage: Bacteria; Pseudomonadati; Pseudomonadota; Alphaproteobacteria; Hyphomicrobiales; Phyllobacteriaceae
Source: RNAcentral